AGUGAACGCUGGCGGUAGGCCUAACACAUGCAAGUCGAACGGCAGCACAGUAAGAGCUUGCUCUUACGGGUGGCGAGUGGCGGACGGGUGAGGAAUACAUCGGAAUCUACUUUUUCGUGGGGGAUAACGUAGGGAAACUUACGCUAAUACCGCAUACGACCUACGGGUGAAAGCAGGGGAUCUUCGGACCUUGCGCGAUUGAAUGAGCCGAUGUCGGAUUAGCUAGUUGGCGGGGUAAAGGCCCACCAAGGCGACGAUCCGUAGCUGGUCUGAGCGGAUGAUCAGCCACACUGGAACUGAGACACGGUCCAGACUCCUACGGGAGGCAGAAGUGGGGAAUAUUGGACAAUGGGCGCAAGCCUGAUCCAGCCAUACCGCGUGGGUGAAGAAGGCCUUCGGGUUGUAAAGCCCUUUUGUUGGGAAAGAAAAGCAGCAGGUUAAUACCCCGCUGUUCUGACGGUACCCAAAGAAUAAGCACCGGCUAACUUCGUG
Molecule: ribosomal RNA, 492 nt
Filed under: uncultured bacterium
Lineage: Bacteria
Description: partial 16S ribosomal RNA
Rfam family: Bacterial small subunit ribosomal RNA
Source: RNAcentral